Molecule: ribosomal RNA, 385 nt
Filed under: uncultured bacterium
Lineage: Bacteria
Description: bacterial SSU rRNA
Rfam family: Bacterial small subunit ribosomal RNA
Source: RNAcentral
GACGAACGCUGGCGGCGUGCCUAACACAUGCAAGUCAACUUGACUGAAGGAGCAAUCUGACAGUAGAGUGGCGCAAGGGUGCGUAACGCGUAAGUAACUUGCCCCAAGGUAAGGAAUAACGUCGAGAAAUCGGCGCUAAUACCUCAUAAUGCAGCGGAUCCGCAUGGAUAUGUUGUUAAAGGUUUACCGCCUUUGGGAUAGGCUUGCGUCUGAUUAGCUAGUUGGUGUGGUAACGGCACACCAAGGCUACGAUCAGUAACUGGUCUGAGAGGAUGAUCAGUCACACUGGAACUGAGACACGGUCCAGACUCCUACGGGAGCAGCAGUGAGGAUAUUGGGCAAUGCUCGAAAGAGUGACCCAGCAACGCCGCGUGGAGGAUGAAGG